GUCACUGUUUUAAUUAGAUACUGAUUUCACUGUCGGCAGUUCAAACAACUACAAUUACUUGCUUCGAUUCAUAGUUCCUGCUCUUUAUUUCAGGGCCCAAAGAGUUUGCUGAUUUAUGUAGUUGUCUUGGUCAAUGGUGUGCCGGUGCUUGAUCGGAAUAUGUACUAUGUGGGUAUGCAGUAUACAUCAGCAACAUUUGCAUCUGCCUCACUCAAUGUUCUUCCUGCCAUAACCUUUAUCAUGGCAAUAAUUUCCAGGAGCAAUGGUGAUGACAAUGUACAAGGGUCCAGUCCUUGACAUUAUAAGGUCCCAUGGAGCUACUCACAACCAUGCCACUGAACCCGCUAAUCAGCAUUGGAUUAUGGGAAUUCUUCUUCUUCUUGGCAGUUGCUGUGGCUGGGCUGGCUAUUUUUAUUUUGCAGGUAAGUCAUAUUCUAUAGCUCACCCUCCGUUUUAAACUCCAAACUUUUUAGUUUUGCAGACUAUCAAAAAUUUAUUAAAGAUUUCGCAUAUCUGAGUCAUAUUUUUUUGCAACGAAUAUGUAUCUAUCUCUAAGUAAUCCCAACGGAUUAAAUACGUCCUAUAUUUCGAAAAAUUCUGAUAUCCAACUAUCCAAGUAUGAUGAUGGAAGUGGAAGAAAGAUUGAACUCAACUUUGACAGCUUUGUUGAAUGUGGCUUGAUUUUAAAGAUGAGACCAUAAUUACUCUCUUUUAGACUUGAUUCACUUGAUAAAAUUUGGCACUAGGAGGAAAUGGUGCCAUAUGAUUUUGUAUGCAGAUACACUCUUCAGUCUUGGUACGUAGUCUUGAAUCAUUGUGUUAUGCAAGAAAACACAAGGUGAUGUUAAAUUAAUGUCAAAACUUCAAUUUCUUGAGGAGAAACAUUUUUUAUAUAGAAUAAUGAAGCUAAAAUUGCUUUACUCUUUAUCGUGAGAAAUCAGUUUCCCCUUGAUAUGGGUUGGGGCUCUUCUCUUAAGGUAACUGUUUUAUUCUCAAUGUAUUCACUUCAGUUCAGUUCCUGAGAAAUCAUGAUUUCAGCUUAAUAAAAUAACAACAAGACUAAAGUACUUUUUUAAACCGCGGAAUUACUUUAUUUACUGUGUUAAAUUCACAGAGUCAUGGUUAUGUCUUGCUGAUAUUCUUUAUAAGCUUAAACUGAGAAGACUUUUGUUGUUCCAGGCAUUUCCAGGAUUCAAGUCUGACAUCAAUGACAUGAUACAAAGCGCUGAAUUUCGAAGGGGAUUCGAGUUACUGGAUUUAGACGGAGGGAUAGAACGGGACCUCUACAUCAAUGGCAUGAUACAAAGCGCGACAAAGAAAGUGCAAAAACAACAUUGGCUCAUCCUUAUUUCGGUAGGGAAGGUCUGCUAGCUUUAUCUUUCAUGCAGAAGCCGAGGAUGCAAUACUUUCGAGCGACACAACAAGAUCGAAUUUUUAAUUUUAGCGAACAUUUUUUGUUUCUAAUUUUAGCGAAUAUUUUCUGUUUUUUAUUUUCUGUUUCUAAUUUUAGCAAAUAUUAAAUUGUUGUCUAGAAGGAAUAUUUAAAUUAUGUAUAAGAUAUAUUUGAAUUUUUAUACAAA
Mercurialis annua (annual mercury) is the source of this 1580-nucleotide long non-coding RNA. RefSeq lists it as uncharacterized. NCBI's taxonomy places the organism in Eukaryota, Viridiplantae, Streptophyta, Magnoliopsida, Malpighiales, Euphorbiaceae. The transcript has 5 exons. The record is from RefSeq and is a predicted model, not a curated record.